AUCUCUUUUAAAGCAUUUUCUCCUGUUUUUCCAUUAUUUUUUACAUAUACAUCAUAAAAUGGUUUCAUAGAUUCUCUAAAUGCUGUAAGUUCUGGAUUUGUUACUGUUACCCCUU
This 115-nucleotide antisense RNA is filed under the name uncultured Cetobacterium sp. RNAcentral describes it as "Aggregatibacter sRNA 96". It matches the Rfam family "Aggregatibacter sRNA 96". From Rfam's summary of the family: Validated by RT-PCR. Antisense gene: HK1651_08600. The record is from RNAcentral. Lineage: Bacteria; Fusobacteriati; Fusobacteriota; Fusobacteriia; Fusobacteriales; Fusobacteriaceae.